UCUGGUGACUCCUGCAAGCCCUGGAGGAAAGGGGGGAAAGGAAGAGGAUUUCAAGGCAUCCCUUUCUGGAAAAAGCAUGAGUCAGAGGAGAAGGAGCUAAACCCAGGACUUCAGGGAGGGUGUCAGUGCUUCUGUGGGAGCGGGAGAAAUGCUUGGGGCAGAGGACAGGUGCUGGUGCCAUGUGGACGAAGACUCCCUCCCCAAAGAAUGGGCAGAGGUGGUGGCUGGGGAGUGGCGGAGCAGCUCCUGGGUACAGCAGCCCUGGGGGGAUGUGCCACGGGAGGAAGGGUGAUAUCCUUUGUGGUCACAGUAAGGAAAACACCAUUCCUGAUGGCCAGGAUGAGAUGGGCAUGUUGCAAGUGCCCCAAGCAAAAUCAGCCAGGGAAGGGAAGAAAGGGAGGUAGCCAGACAAAGGCAAAUAAAAUCAGGGAGGGAGGUUUCUCCUUUAUCCCAAGAGUCAAAGCAAACCACGUGUGUAUUAGUACAUGUGUACAUAUUUAGGUGCACACACGCUCACUCUCCUAUGCACCCAAUGUCCUAAAUUCAAAGGUAGUUUGUUCAUUUCUCUUUAUUCUUCUAGGAUUCAGACAGCAAAAAACCCAAUAAUUGAGAAGCUUCUGCUCAGUACGACUGCCAAGCAGACAUCAGGUUGGCUGCAGCACUGUUUGGUGUGGAUAUGGCUCUCCAGUGAUUCAUAACCAGCCCAAUGAGAGCAGGGUUCAUCGGUGCCCCAACCAACAAAAACACAACUGCAAUGUUUUCAGUUCUUUCCCUUCUCCUUUAAAGAGAAAUACACACACACGCAGAGGAGAAACAGAGCUAGAGAAUGCUUUCUAACCUGGUACAGCAUAUUACACUAAUUUGGGGAUGCUGUUACUCAUGCAUCAUUCAUGACCCUGCCAAAACCGGGAACAAACAGUCCCUACAAUCUUGAUCGGACUGUCUGAGCUGAGCUUUGUAGAGUUUUCCAAUCUGAAAGAGCCCAAAUAGGAAACAUCCUUCCCCACUGCUAGCUCCUGUAAUUGGCAGCAUAGCAGGCAGUGUCCUUACCCUGAUCUGCUUCUCUAUUGAUAUUUUUGUCCAGCAGUGACUGCAGGGCAGGUGAAGGGAUCUGCAAAUGUCAUGUGCUGUCAUCUUUCCACUGGGUUGCAUCUGAGACCUCAAAGGCUCUGUGUUGGGUCAGCUUUCCCCAUGGUGGCAAAGUCCCUGGAAACAAAGAGGAAGUUGAACACGGACAUCACCUCUGCCCUGGAGUCACAUGCUGAACCCUGGGGACCACCACACACCCUUCAGGUACCAUCAGUUACAUCCCUUCUGCUGUGAUGCAUCACUGGCCCUCACACCAGGGAGCUGCAGACAUGUGGAAGCCACGGCUGCUCAGAUGAAGGCCUCUGAUAAUUAUCCACCCUCCCACUUCCCUGCUGCAUGGACCAGAUAGCUGCAAGCCAAGGCCAUUACUCAGCGUAUCAUCAGUUUUUCCCCUUGAAGCCAUUGAAAACCAAGAGCCCCACUUCACACAAUGCUUUUGGUAUCAGUGGAGUCCUCCUUGCCACACAUCAAGCAACCCUGCAGCAGCAUGGCAGCUCUGCAUCCUGACACAAUCAAGUGUGAAGGUGAAGGGACAUCAAGAAAAGCAAGCUGCACGUUCCUCCCCCUUGGCUCGCCUCUCCCAGCGCUGCAAGACACAGAAGUUGAAAGUUAAGCUUUUGAGUUACCAGCAAUUUCCACUUUGGUGCAUUAUUGACUUUGCUGCAGCGCUUUUAUAAGCCUGUUUAUAAGACAAUAGACAAUGGGAGAAGUUGCUGAGGCUCCCAGUGGACAUAUGUUGACAAUAAACCCCUGUAACAGAGGUCAAAUGUGUGUUCCCAGAAUAGCAGAGGGUAACUUGCUGCCUGAGGAGCGUCACACUGCAAACGAACUGAUACAGAAGAGAAGUCUGAUUGUUUGAGCCACUGAGUCAGCUUGGCCCAAGAAGACUAAUUUUCCAGGAGAUCUGAUCUCUCUAUUUGCUGCAAGGAUGUGACAACAUAUCUCUCCCAUUGGUAAUGCUUAUGUGUAUGCAAAGGUCCCUGUAGUCAUAGAUAUAAAGCUGUUUGAAACUAUUUGGAGUGUAGAGGCAGCAGCACCCUGAAUGUCAUGUUCUUGACCAGGUGCCCCCGUUGGUGGAAAGCCUCUCUCCAAGUGAGACACGAGAGUGAAUCAGACAACAGUUUCAUGUGGGUGGGAUGGCUCUGCACAGUAUUGGGGGAGUGAAGAAAAUACAAAAUGCCGUGUCCUAUUUUUAAGAAGUUGUAACUUCGCUUUACUUUUCCCCCUUGUAU
Molecule: long non-coding RNA, 2321 nt
Organism: Serinus canaria (Common canary)
Lineage: Eukaryota; Metazoa; Chordata; Aves; Passeriformes; Fringillidae
Exons: 3
Source: RefSeq, a predicted model, not a curated record